Molecule: ribosomal RNA, 427 nt
Filed under: uncultured bacterium
Lineage: Bacteria
Description: partial 16S ribosomal RNA
Rfam family: Bacterial small subunit ribosomal RNA
Source: RNAcentral
UGGGGAAUAUUGCACAAUGGGCGCAAGCCUGAUGCAGCCAUGCCGCGUGUAUGAAGAAGGCCUUCGGGUUGUAAAGUACUUUCAGCGGGGAGGAAGGGAGUAAAGUUAAUACCUUUGCUCAUUGACGUUACCCGCAGAAGAAGCACCGGCUAACUCCGUGCCAGCAGCCGCGGUAAUACGGAGGGUGCAAGCGUUAAUCCGAAUUACUGGGCGUAAAGCGCACGCAGGCGGUUUGUUAAGUCAGAUGUGAAAUCCCCGGGCUCAACCUGGGAACUGCAUCUGAUACUGGCAAGCUUGAGUCUCGUAGAGGGGGGUAGAAUUCCAGGUGUAGCGGUGAAAUGCGUAGAGAUCUGGAGGAAUACCGGUGGCGAAGGCGGCCCCCUGGACGAAGACUGACGCUCAGGUGCGAAAGCGUGGGGAGCAAACA